Molecule: long non-coding RNA, 1197 nt
Filed under: Pan troglodytes (chimpanzee)
Lineage: Eukaryota; Metazoa; Chordata; Mammalia; Primates; Hominidae
Description: long non-coding RNA NONPTRT006386
Source: RNAcentral
GUUGGACAGCCCUCUCGCAUGGCAAUUUGGCGACUGAUGGAUCCUAGGGUUUGAAUCCACAAAGAAUCAAAAAUGCAGUUUAUGGUCUGACCAAGGGACUGAAGAAAGCCUGCGGUUGAUCCUGGUGACCCCCCGACUGGCGUUUACAGUGCAGCCAUGCCAUGGCUGGGGGACAUGGCUCAAGAUGGAGUCCCUCCUCUCAUGAUCCAGCCACAAAGGCUUGCCUGAGUCCUUGGGAAGGUUCCAGAUCAGGCUUCCCGUCAGACGCUGUCCUCACCUCCGAUGAUCUGCUCCAAUGGCAUCUGUGACUCUGCCAAAGCCCUGCUCUCUGGAAAAAGAGCAAACAAAGCAAUUUCAGCAAACAGUGGAGGACAGGCCCUGCUCUUACAGGAAGCCCAGGUUCACCCAGAAACGCAUCAUCCCGGCCCAGGCACAUCUGGUUUCCUCUACACUCUUCACCCAGAGACCUAGGGAUAUUUCUACCCAGGUAGGAACAGAGCAGGAAGGAAAUUGCUUUUAAGUAUUGACAGCUCCCAACAUUGAACCAGUGUUGCUUAAUUAAUGGGAAUGCUGAUGGGAUUCCUCAGGCUCCCCUCCCUUGAGCAAAUGGACAACUCCACCUUAGAAACACCAUUGCCUUGGAGGUUAAUCCUCAGUUCUCCUUGGCACUGUUUGUCCUUCAUCAAAAGAGUAACCCAGAAUUUCUCUCCCCUUCAGAGUGUACCCCUCAACUCCUUUUUGAAUGAAUAAGAAACAGAUCAACAGUAUCUCGUUGACUUGAGUGAUCUAAAUGAACCUCUGCCUAACUUCUGUUUCAAGCCACACAUGACCUCACUCACUUCAGAAGGGCCUCCAGUUCCCGCUUGACUUUGCCCACAACGGGUGGCCCCCAGAAGGUGAGGGCCGUGUACAGCUGCACCAGGGAGGCCCCUGCCCGGAUCUUCUCCAGCGCGUCCUGCCCGCUGCUCACACCACCAACCCCAAUUAUGGGAACUCGGCCUACAGAGAAGCACAUGGCGACACCAUAAAGAAGGAUGUGGCUUCAGCCCCAGAGUCCCCCACAAUCAAGGCAGAUUAGGGAAUGAUGAUUCCCAUCACGACCCAGGAGCCCAAGCCACACGCAGAUCUGAAGACACAAACACGGGAAACCUUGCCUUGGAGACCCGCUGUCCAGACAGGCUGGAGAGAGGAGUGAGA